AGUGAACGCUGGCGGUAGGCCUAACACAUGCAAGUCGAACGGCAGCACAGUAAGAGCUUGCUCUUACGGGUGGCGAGUGGCGGACGGGUGAGGAAUACAUCGGAAUCUACUUUUUCGUGGGGGAUAACGUAGGGAGACUUACGCUAAUACCGCAUACGACCUACGGGUGAAAGCAGGGGAUCCUCGGACCUUGCGCGAUUGAAUGAGCCGAUGUCGGAUUAGCUAGUUGGCGGGGUAAAGGCCCACCAAGGCGACGAUCCGUAGCUGGUCUGAGAGGAUGAUCAGCCACACUGGAACUGAGACACGGUCCAGACUCCUACGGGAGGCAGCAGUGGGGAAUAUUGGACAAUGGGCGCAAGCCUGAUCCAGCCAUACCGCGUGGGUGAAGAAGGCCUUCGGGUUGUAAAGCCCUUUUGUUGGGAAAGAAAAGCAGCAGGUUAAUACCCCGCUGUUCUGACGGUACCCAAAGAAUAAGCACCGGCUAACUUCGUG
This 492-nucleotide ribosomal RNA is filed under the name uncultured bacterium. RNAcentral's name for it is "partial 16S ribosomal RNA". It matches the Rfam family "Bacterial small subunit ribosomal RNA", at positions 29 to 507 of the family's 1533-position model. The record is from RNAcentral.